RNAcentral lists this long non-coding RNA (884 nucleotides) under Homo sapiens (human). RNAcentral's name for it is "HSALNT0320906". Lineage: Eukaryota; Metazoa; Chordata; Mammalia; Primates; Hominidae. The record is from RNAcentral.
GUCCAAAGUAAGGACAAUUUUUCCCAAGUGAUUGAGUGGAGCAGCAAAUGCCUGUGAAAAUAGUAGAUAUAAAAAUAUCAGCAAGAGCCAAAAUUACAAGACUGUUUCUGAAAAUAUUCCGAAAGAAUGUUUAGAAAACAUCUUUUUCCAGGUAGACAGAGAGUUUGUGAGGCUGCAUCAUUGGCAUCAUUUUAUCAUCACCAUCCCGCUCAGGAGCUCAAGAAGAGGGGAACUGAGUCAGUUAGAAUUACAGAGAAAAAAACAUAGUAUAUAUAAGGUUCUGGAGCUGAAAAAUACAAUGAACAAAGUGAAAAGUGAAACAGAGACUAUCAGCAGCAGAAUUAGUCAAGCAAAAGAAAGAAUCUGCAAAAUUGAAGAUGAGUUAUUUGAAAAUAUACAGUGAGAAGAGGAAAAAGAAAACCAUUUUUAAAAAUGAAGAAAGCUUACAGGAAUUAUGAGACAGCAUCAACAGACCAAAAGUUUGAGUCACUGGCAUUUUGGAAAUCUGCAGCUUCAGCUUUCUCAUAAUGAGUAUUUGCUUAUAAUUUGUUGUAAGGGUGAUAAUAAUUUCAGUUGGAGCCUCACUGGUAACCUUGCUCAGCCACACGACUGGAAUGUAAGAGGCUGGGGCAUUUUGGACAGCACAGAUGUUAAACGUGAACACUACCUUCUCAGUAGCACAAAUCUGACUACAUCUUUAAGUCUCCAAGAGGAACAUGAGGACAUGAGCAAUAGAGGAAACCUGGAGGAAGAGGGUGUGGCAUGUUGAAAUUUAAAAAGAAGCAAUGUGUAUUUGCAAGUCAAACCAAUAUAAUAAAACCAGUGGUUAUUUUUUAAUGUUUUCAAUCAUUGGAAUAUACAUGAAUUUUCACAAUAAAGUGUGC